GACAGAGACACAGGCAAUGAAAUCAACAUUCUCAAAUCAACUUUGUUGCAUUACAAUCAAUUCAUUACAUUUCAAAUAUGGAAAGAUUAAACAACCUAACUAGUAGUAAUCAACUUUCCAUCUCCCAAAUUAAGUACAAAUUUCUCCGAUUUAAGCAACUUUUUGCACAGAGAUGGUUCCAAAGAAAUUCCAAAGUAGAAAAAUUAAGGAAACCCAUAUGAUUAUCUUGUAAAUCCUAUGUUUGCGUCUAACAUUUUGCACUUCAUUUUCAAAAGUCCUCAACUUCCUCAACAAACCAGGAAUCACUUGAAUAGCUCUCAGCUGCAUCGGAGGAUCAUACCACAUGAAAUACCCGUAACCAUGAGGCUGUUAAAAAAGAAUUUUUUGAGAACAAACUUCAUAUUAAAGGAAAUUGAAUAUAAAUUACUUAUUCUUGCAGUUUGACAUCCAUAGAAUCGACGACCAGGAUUCAAAUCAGUCCAAGAAGUUAUCAACAUAGCCGGACGAUGACAAUGACAGUGGUUAACUGCAGCCAUUUAAGUUGACUCUGUAUGUUCUGUGAUAGUUAUCAAUUAAAAAUGUAUCCAACUGUUAUGAUUUGGAUCUGAAGACAGUUGAAAAGACAAGUGAUCAUUUAAAUUAGCUUUACAUCGAAGCCAACUAAAUAACUAUUUUGCAUCAUCUACAAGUGAACUGACUUGGUAAGCUGAAGAGCAGAGCCUAUGUUUUUGUUGUUUGUUAAUCCUUCAUUAAAACUUCAUGAACAUGCUUGGAAAUUAACAUCUUGAAGAUAUGCAGAACUGAAGGUUAAACAUUUGUAAUCUCAAUAAAAACCAAGAAAUAUAGAAAUUAAUAUCAAAACAUAAGAUUUAUGUAUGUCGAAAUAAAUUAAAGACGGUGUUGCAAUUCGACUGAUUUUUGGGUGAAUGAGGUAUGAGUGAUUAUAAAAUAUAGCUUAGUAAUGAAACGCCUAUCAAGUAAAGGAUUAUUCUCAUCGCAGAAACAUACUCGGGAAUAUCUAAAAAAUGGCUACAAAAUGAGUACCCUAAAAAUAAAGCUGAUAAGAUGUAAAUUACUUACCGAUUCGAACUGGUUAGAUGAAGGAAAUCGAUUUUCUAGGGCUUUCUCUCUUGGAGCAAUAUCGCGCGUUUCUAGGGCUUCGUUCUCUCAGUUGAAGGGCUUCGCGAUGGACUAUAGUUUCGAUUUUGCAGGAGAAGGAAAGGAACUCAGCUCGUGAUGGAGAAGGAAAGGAACUCAGCAAUCGAUUGAGAAGGAGAAGGAAGUCGUUCGAUUUUGCAGUGAGGGAUUUUCAAGCUCUCGCUAAGUGUUUGUCGUUCGAUUUCUUGUGACUGAGUGGAUGCUCUAGGGCUUCGAUUUUGCAGGAGUGGAUUUUCAAGGAAUUCGAUUUUGGAAGUGAGGGAUUUUCAGUCGAGAUAUCGAUUUUGGAAGGAGCUGAGUCUUGUAAAAAGACUGAGUGAGUCGAUUUUAUGAAGGAAAUAGACUUGAGUGAGGAGAGAGAUC
Molecule: long non-coding RNA, 1521 nt
Filed under: Panax ginseng (ginseng)
Lineage: Eukaryota; Viridiplantae; Streptophyta; Magnoliopsida; Apiales; Araliaceae
Description: long non-coding RNA (PGIN_LNC010820)
Source: RNAcentral